Hydnum rufescens UP504 is the source of this 115-nucleotide non-coding RNA. NCBI's taxonomy places the organism in Eukaryota, Fungi, Basidiomycota, Agaricomycetes, Cantharellales, Hydnaceae. The record is from the annotation of a GenBank genome assembly.
GGUGAGAUGGCCGAGCGGUCUAAGGCGCUGCACUCAAGCGAAAAAGCUUGCCCCUUCUGGGGGUCAGUCUUGCAGUCUCAGUAAUGGGGCGCGAGUUCAAAUCUCGCUCUCAUCA